This 490-nucleotide ribosomal RNA is filed under the name uncultured bacterium. Its description in RNAcentral is "partial 16S ribosomal RNA". It matches the Rfam family "Bacterial small subunit ribosomal RNA", at positions 30 to 507 of the family's 1533-position model. The record is from RNAcentral.
AUUGAACGCUGGCGGCAGGCCUAACACAUGCAAGUCGAACGGUAACAGGAAGAAGCUUGCUUCUUUGCUGACGAGUGGCGGACGGGUGAGUAAUGUCUGGGAAACUGCCUGAUGGAGGGGGAUAACUACUGGAAACGGUAGCUAAUACCGCAUAACGUCGCAAGCCCAAAGAGGGGGACCUUCGGGCCUCUUGCCAUCGGAUGUGCCCAGAUGGGAUUCGCUAGUAGGUGGGGUAACGGCCCACCUAGGCGACGAUCCCUAGCUGGUGUGAGAGGAUGACCAGCCACACUGGAACUGAGACACGGUCCAGACUCCUGCGGGAGGCAGCAGUGGGGAAUAUUGCACAAAGGGCGCAAGCCUGAUGCAGCCAUGCCGCGUGUAUGAAGAAGGCCUUCGGGUUGUAAAGUACUUUCAGCGGGGAGGAAGGGGGUAAAGUUAAUACCUUGGCUCAUUGACGUUACCCGCAGAAGAAGCACCGGCUAACUCCGUG